AUGCAUAGCCAUGGAAUGGCACAUACUGGCCUGAGGCUGUACAAAUUCAUCGCAAGGUCGGGUCAGUCCCAAAGUUCAAAGAGGAAAAAAUUCAUUUGGAAGCUGGAAAAUACAUUACUCGCGUACUUUAGCACACACUUCUCUAAUAGAAGCCUCUUCCCGCACAUGGAUGCUGAUCAUGAUGAGCUACCAAUCAGUACAGGAGACGGGACCACCAGUGUCAUGGCCCUCUUUAUCAAGGGUGUCGACAACAGGGCUACACUCACAAAGAACUGGAGCAGCUUCCAUAAGGCAAACAUCAAGAAAGGGUGUGCAUAUGCUUUCGCCUUCAAGUGCGCGUCCAAGGGCCUCUGCAUGGUUGUUUAUUCAAUCUAA
Molecule: ribosomal RNA, 375 nt
Filed under: Triticum aestivum (bread wheat)
Lineage: Eukaryota; Viridiplantae; Streptophyta; Magnoliopsida; Poales; Poaceae
Description: partial small subunit ribosomal RNA
Source: RNAcentral